UUAUAUCCUGUUUCGAUUCUGAAGAUGUUUUAGGUCGAAGCUCCUCCCACCGUUGCGGUCGGGAACGAACCCAAGGCGGUUGUUCCUUUAACAUUGCUACCACUUCGGAUUCUUUCUCAUCAAUUCCUUCAGUAUCCUCAACAAUAGAUAAACUCAAAACUCUCUCCAAAGGAAGCUUGGGUGUUGUAAUCUGCAUAGAUUGAGC
RNAcentral lists this long non-coding RNA (205 nucleotides) under Lathyrus oleraceus (garden pea). Its description in RNAcentral is "Pisum sativum (pea) long non-coding RNA (PSAT_LNC038842)". Lineage: Eukaryota; Viridiplantae; Streptophyta; Magnoliopsida; Fabales; Fabaceae. The record is from RNAcentral.